GGGCAAAAUCCAAAUUUCUCAUCCCUGGACUCUGGUCCAUUAUCCUUCGUCGUGCCUUGCCUGCCGCUGUGUUCCAUGGCGCCAGCGCUCCACCUUACCCCCCACCGCUUCCUCCUCCCUCGCCGUCCCGGCUCCGCUCGCCUCCUCCUCCGUGUCCACCUUAAACCCCUCUCCUCCUCGUCUCCCCACUCUCCUCCCCUCGAUGGGCCCUCGCUCCGCCGCGGCCGGGCCCUGCCGGACUACCCAGAUCCCUUCGCUCGCGCCUUCGACCUCGCCGCGCUCCGCGUUCCCGCCGCCUCCUGCGCGCCCCUCGAGCGCCGCCUCCGGGGGCACCUCCUCAAUUGGCCCCGCGUCCGCAACGUCGCUCGCCUCCCAAACGACCAGGGCCUCCUCGGCCUCGGCAUCUCCCUGCUGUCUCCUCCCCCGCGCCACCCCACAGCGGAGGAACCGGGCAGCCCCGCCCCGCCGGCCACCGCGGUGUUGCGGCGGGAGAAGCUUGCCCGCGAGUUCAACGCCCGGGGCUUCCUGCGGUUCCCCAACCUCGCCCGCCUCUCGCGGCCCAGUCCCGCCGCGCGGAAGAGGAGGGAGAGGAAGGGAGGCGGCGGCGACGAGGAGGCGACGCGGGAGCCUGACAGAGACAAGGCGUAUGUGGUGGAGGUAGUUAGGGAGGGGAUGGAGGACGACGAAGACGAGUGGUGGAAGGGGCUGGUCGGGGAGGAGGGCUUCGGGAGAGGCGCGUGGAGGAUAGGCCCCACCCGGCUGCUGAUGCUGGACGAGAGUUACGCCGAGAGGAGGGUCGAUGAGCUGCCAGAGGCUGUCAAGGGUGUGUUAAACCAUGAAACUCAACAGGAUGGAUUGUCUGCUUAUGAGCUUAUACGCUGUCAGCUAACCUUGUUCUAUAAUUAUUGGCCAAUGAAUGAGGUUUUAGAGGAAUUACUCCCUGAAGGUGUAAUAAUUCCUACAGGUUUUGAAACAGUAGGGCAUAUUGCACACUUGAACUUGCGUGAUGAGCAUCUGCCUUACAAGAAACUUAUCGCUCAGGUGGUUCUGGAUAAAAACAAGCCAAAAAUCCAAACUGUUGUCAAUAAGAUAGAUGCUAUUCAAAAUGACUAUAGAACUAUGCAACUUGAAGUCUUAGCCGGUAAUGAUUCCCUUCGUACGAUGGUCAUUGAGAGCGGCCUCCGUUUUCAAGUUGAUCUUGGUACAGUCUAUUGGAAUUCUAGAUUAGCCACCGAGAGGCAGAGGCUCGUCAAUGACAUCUUUAGAAACUCUGAUAUUGUUUGUGAUAUGUUCUCUGGGGUUGGUCCCCUAGCAAUUUCAGCUGCAAAAAAGGUCAAAUAUGUCUAUGCAAAUGACAUAAAUCCUACUGCAGUGGAAUACUUCAAGAGAAACAUGGUUCUUAACAAACUCGAAAGGAAAAUAGAGGUUUUUAACAUGGAUGCUAGAAGGUUUAUCAGUGCAAUAUAUUCAAGCCAGCAUGUGCAUCCAGUCACCCAAAUAGUAAUGAAUUUGCCCAAUGACGCCGCAGAAUUUUUAGGACCUCAACAUUUCCACAAGUUCUCCGGAUUCUGGAGACAGAUGUGUUCAGAGGGAUCUUGCGGAGUGGUCAAUCAGAACUGCAUUGUGUCAUGCCAAUGAUCCACGUUUAUGGAUUUUCCAAAGCAGAGGAUCCUGAACAUGACUUCCAUGGGAGGAUAAAUGUAGCAUUGGGGGAGAAUGUUGACAUUGUUGAAAUGCACAGAGUACGGCUUGUUGCACCUGGGAAAUGGAUGAUAUGUGCAUCUUUUACCCUUCCAUUCUCAAUUGCAAUUGCGGAGCCGAACUACAUUAGCUGUUGAAUUUUUGUACUCUUCCUACCUCCUCUCUCGUAGUAUGUCCGCAAAUUCUUCAAAGCAGAUUAUUUAGAUGGUGUCCUAGAUUCGGAAAGACUUGCAUGAAAGAGAAAGCGCUUCUGAUUGAAUUGUGAA
This is an RNA transcript of Setaria italica (foxtail millet), 1967 nucleotides long. It is a transcript of the gene named tRNA (guanine(37)-N1)-methyltransferase 1, with no coding region annotated. The record is from RefSeq and is a predicted model, not a curated record. The transcript is spliced from 10 exons. NCBI's taxonomy places the organism in Eukaryota, Viridiplantae, Streptophyta, Magnoliopsida, Poales, Poaceae.